GAUGAACGCUGGCGGCGUGCCUAAUACAUGCAAGUCGAGCGAACAGACGAGGAGCUUGCUCCUCUGACGUUAGCGGCGGACGGGUGAGUAACACGUGGAUAACCUACCUAUAAGACUGGGAUAACUUCGGGAAACCGGAGCUAAUACCGGAUAAUAUAUUGAACCGCAUGGUUCAAUAGUGAAAGACGGUUUUGCUGUCACUUAUAGAUGGAUCCGCGCCGCAUUAGCUAGUUGGUAAGGUAACGGCUUACCAAGGCAACGAUGCGUAGCCGACCUGAGAGGGUGAUCGGCCAGACUGGAACUGAGACACGGUCCAGACUCCUACGGGAGGAAGCAGUAGGGAAUCUUCCGCAAUGGGCGAAAGCCUGACGGAGCAACGCCGCGUGAGUGAUGAAGGUCUUCGGAUCGUAAAACUCUGUUAUUAGGGAAGAACAAAUGUGUAAGUAACUAUGCACGUCUUGACGGUACCGAAUCAGAAAGCCACGGCUAACUACGUG
This 497-nucleotide ribosomal RNA is filed under the name uncultured bacterium. RNAcentral's name for it is "partial 16S ribosomal RNA". It matches the Rfam family "Bacterial small subunit ribosomal RNA", at positions 28 to 507 of the family's 1533-position model. The record is from RNAcentral.